CGGGUUAGGUUAAAACGCGGAAGCGGAUGCGAAACGGAACGGAUGCGGAACGGAUAUGGGGUUAAAAUGCGGAACGGAACGGAUAUGCGGAACGGAACGGAUAUGCGGAACGGAACGGAUAUGGGGUUAAAAUGCGGAACGGAAAUGCGGAACGGAACGGAUAUGGGGUUAAAACGUGGAACGGAACGGGAAUAAAACGUUUUUUAAAAACAGACAUGAUUUUUCAUGACAAUAAGAGCUUAAUCUUUUAGAAGUUUUCGUCGAAGUCAUGGCAUAUAGGAAGUAUCAAGA
Non-coding RNA from Paramuricea clavata, 291 nucleotides. The record is from the annotation of a GenBank genome assembly. Lineage: Eukaryota; Metazoa; Cnidaria; Anthozoa; Malacalcyonacea; Plexauridae.